AUGCUGUUUCACCUUACACCCUUAAACCUCUUAGAAUUUACCAAUGUCAGUGAAUUUAAUAAAAAAAUACAAAAGUGCACACUCCUUGUACAAGAAAAAGGUGAACAACGCAAAAGUACAGGAUGGAUCCUGGACUUUUUCAAAGACCUCAUUCCAUUUAUUUAUUUAUCUAUCUAUUUUUUUGUCUCAACUUUUGUCAUUUGUCUUUUGAGGGCCACACCGCAGCAUAUGGAGGUUCCCAGGCUAGGGGUCCAAUUGGAUCUGUAGCCGCCAGCCUGUGCUAGAGCCACAGUAAUGCCCGAUCCAAGCUGGGUCUGUGACAUACACCACAGCUCACAGCAAUGCUGGAUCCUUAACCCGCUGAGCAAGGCCAGGGAUAGGACCUGCAAUGUUAUGGUUCCUAGUUGGAUUUGUUUCUGCUGCACCAUGACCGGAACUCCCCCAUUUACUUAUUUUCUAGCCUGCUUUUUUUUAGCCGGUCUCAUUCCCUAGGCAUAAGAGCCAGCCCACAGCUCUCCUAGCCAAUGAUUCUCAUUUGCCCUCCUUCGGGACACCCUUCUCUCUACCUUUCACUGCUAAGCUUCUGAAAAGAAUACUUUACUGCUUGUCUCCAGCUCAUGUCUCACUGACUUAUGAAAGCUCCCCAAAAUCUUGUCUCAGUAAUGUCUAGGGCAUUUUCUAAUGCUUUAAAAAUUAGUCUUUUAAGGAGUUCCCAUCGUGGCUCAGUGGUUAACGAAUCUGACUAGAAACCAUGAGGUUGCAGGUUCAAUUCCUGGACUUGCUCAGCGGGUUAUGGAUCUGGCAUUGCCAUGAGCUGUGGUGUAGGUCACAGACGUAGCUCAGAUCCCAUGUUGCUGUGGCUGUGGCAUAGGCUGGCAGCUGUAGCUCCGAUUGGACCCCUAGCCUGGGAACCUCCAUAUGCCGCAGUUGCGGCCUUACAAAAAGGCAAAAAGACAAAAAAAAAAAAAAAAUUAGUCUUUUAAUUAAAGUCUCCAUAGCAUCUGAUCAAUGUUGUUCACAUCUUCAUUCUUUAGAAUUCUCUCCAUCGUCUUUCUUCUGGAUUCCCUUCCUAACAUCAGAGCCUUCUUUCUCAGCUUUCUCUGUGAUUUCUUCGGACCACUUCCUAAUGGGUAUGUUCUCUCAGGUACCAUGGUCCGCUAACUGUCUUUUCACUGGCCCUGUGGUCUCAGGGGGAAACUCACCCCCCUCCAUCAUUUGAUGUUCACCUGAAUGCCACUGACUUCUGAAUGCUUGCCUCCCACCUCAUCCUUCUCCUGACUCCACCCUGAUUUAUCACAUUGUCUGCUGGACAUGUUUAUCGGGAUGUGCGUAGACUUCUGAAAAUCAGUAUGUCCAAAUCCGAGCUCGGUAUCUUCCCUUAGAACUUUCUUGAGAAAACGUGCUUGUCAUCCCCACCCAGACCACUCUCCAGCCACAUGUGCCUUCUUGCAAAUUCAAACAGACUCUUAUGCAAAUAGCUUCCAGGCUAAUCUUGGCAGGAUCAUGCCUUACAAAUUGUGCAGAUCAGAAAUGUUCAAUCUGCCUCCAAUUCACCUCUCGGGCAGGGGGGUGGGGGUGGGGGGUGGAUUUACACCCAAAAUUUAUAGG
This 1608-nucleotide long non-coding RNA is filed under the name Sus scrofa (pig). Its description in RNAcentral is "lncRNA (ENSSSCG00005012447.1)". The record is from RNAcentral. Lineage: Eukaryota; Metazoa; Chordata; Mammalia; Artiodactyla; Suidae.